UGGCUGGAAUGCUUUGCCUUUGAAAUGUUUCUUGUAUUCGCCUAAGGAUAGAUCUGCGGCUGAUUAGGUCGUUGGUGGGGUAAUGGCCCACCAAGCCUAUGGUCGGUACGGGUUGUGAGAGCAAGAGCCCGGAGAUGGAACCUGAGACAAGGUUCCAGACCCUACGGGGUGCAGCAGGCGCGAAACCUCCGCAAUGUACGAAAGUGCGACGGGGGGAUCCCA
RNAcentral lists this ribosomal RNA (222 nucleotides) under uncultured archaeon. RNAcentral's name for it is "partial 16S ribosomal RNA". It matches the Rfam family "Archaeal small subunit ribosomal RNA", at positions 167 to 382 of the family's 1478-position model. The record is from RNAcentral.